UACGUAGGGUGCGAGCGUUGUCCGGAAUUAUUGGGCGUAAAGAGCUUGUAGGCGGUCUGUCGCGUCUGCUGUGAAAAUCCGGGGCUCAACCCCGGACUUGCAGUGGGUACGGGCAGACUAGAGUGUGGUAGGGGAGACUGGAAUUCCUGGUGUAGCGGUGAAAUGCGCAGAUAUCAGGAAGAAUAUCCGUGGCGAAGGCGGCUCUCUGGUACGGCACUGACGCUGAGACGCGAAAGCGUGGGGAGCGAACAGG
Molecule: ribosomal RNA, 253 nt
Filed under: uncultured bacterium
Lineage: Bacteria
Description: partial 16S ribosomal RNA
Rfam family: Bacterial small subunit ribosomal RNA
Source: RNAcentral